Molecule: ribosomal RNA, 253 nt
Filed under: uncultured bacterium
Lineage: Bacteria
Description: partial 16S ribosomal RNA
Rfam family: Bacterial small subunit ribosomal RNA
Source: RNAcentral
UACGGGGGGGCAAGCGUUGUUCGGAAUUACUGGGCGUAAAGGGCUCGCAGGCGGCCGACUAAGUCAGACGUGAAAUCCCUUGGCUUAACCAAGGAAUGGCGUCUGAUACUGGACGGCUUGAAUCCGGGAGAGGGAUGUGGAAUUCCAGGUGUAGCGGUGAAAUGCGUAGAUAUCUGGAGGAACACCGGUGGCGAAGGCGGCAUCCUGGACCGGUAUUGACGCUGAGGAGCGAAAGCCAGGGGAGCAAACGGGG